This 468-nucleotide ribosomal RNA is filed under the name uncultured bacterium. Its description in RNAcentral is "partial 16S ribosomal RNA". It matches the Rfam family "Bacterial small subunit ribosomal RNA", at positions 28 to 507 of the family's 1533-position model. The record is from RNAcentral.
GACGAACGCUGGCGGCGUGCUUGACACAUGCAAGUCGAACGGAAAGGCCCUGCUUUUGUGGGGUGCUCGAGGGGCGAACGGGUGAGUAACACGUGAGUAACCUGCCCUUGACUUUGGGAUAACUUCAGGAAACUGGGGCUAAUACCGGAUAGGAGCUCCUGCUGCAUGGUGGGGGUUGGAAAGUUUCGGCGGUUGGGGAUGGACUCGCGGCUUAUCAGCUUGUUGGUGGGGUAGUGGCUUACCAAGGCUUUGACGGGUAGCCGGCCUGAGAGGGUGACCGGCCACAUUGGGACUGAGAUACGGCCCAGACUCCUACGGGAGGCAGCAGUGGGGAAUAUUGCACAAUGGGCGGAAGCCUGAUGCAGCAACGCCGCGUGCGGGAUGACGGCCUUCGGGUUGUAAACCGCUUUCGCCUGUGACGAAGCGUGAGUGACGGUAAUGGGUAAAGAAGCACCGGCUAACUACGUG